This 791-nucleotide ribosomal RNA is filed under the name uncultured Actinomycetes bacterium. RNAcentral's name for it is "bacterial SSU rRNA". It matches the Rfam family "Bacterial small subunit ribosomal RNA", at positions 88 to 896 of the family's 1533-position model. Lineage: Bacteria; Bacillati; Actinomycetota; Actinomycetes. The record is from RNAcentral.
UACUCGAGUGGCGAACGGGUGAGUAACACGUGGGUGAUCUGCCCUGCACUUCGGGAUAAGCCUGGGAAACUGGGUCUAAUACGGAUAGGAGCCAUUUUUAGUGUGAUGGUUGGAAAGUUUUUUCGGUGUAGGAUGAGCUCGCGGCCUAUCAGCUUGUUGGUGGGGUAAUGGCCUACCAAGGCGGCGACGGGUAGCCGGCCUGAGAGGGUGGACGGCCACAUUGGGACUGAGAUACGGCCCAGACUCCUACGGGAGGCAGCAGUGGGGAAUAUUGCACAAUGGGCGCAAGCCUGAUGCAGCGACGCCGCGUGGGGGAUGACGGCCUUCGGGUUGUAAACUCCUUUCGCUAGGGACGAAGCUUUUGUGACGGUACCUAGAUAAGAAGCACCGGCUAACUACGUGCCAGCAGCCGCGGUAAUACGUAGGUGGCAAGCGUUAUCCGGAAUUAUUGGGCGUAAAGCGCGCGUAGGCGGUUUUUAAGUCUGAUGUGAAAGCCCACGGCUCAACCGUGGAGGGUCAUUGGAAACUGGAAAACUUGAGUGCAGAAGAGGAAAGUGGAAUUCCAUGUGUAGCGGUGAAAUGCGCAGAGAUAUGGAGGAACACCAGUGGCGAAGGCGACUUUCUGGUCUGUAACUGACGCUGAUGUGCGAAAGCGUGGGGAUCAAACAGGAUUAGAUACCCUGGUAGUCCACGCCGUAAACGAUGAGUGCUAAGUGUUAGGGGGUUUCCGCCCCUUAGUGCUGCAGCUAACGCAUUAAGCACUCCGCCUGGGGAGUACGACCGCAAGGUUG